UACGGGGGGGGCAAGCGUUGUUCGGAAUUACUGGGCGUAAAGGGCUCGCAGGUGGCCAACUAAGUCGGACGUGAAAUCCCUCGGCUUAACCGGGGAACUGCGUCCGAUACUGGUUGGCUUGAGUUUGGGAGAGGGAUGCGGAAUUCCAGGUGUAGCGGUGAAAUGCGUAGAUAUCUGGAGGAACACCGGUGGCGAAGGCGGCAUCCUGGACCAAUACUGACGCUGAGGAGCGAAAGCCAGGGGAGCAAACGGG
RNAcentral lists this ribosomal RNA (253 nucleotides) under uncultured bacterium. Its description in RNAcentral is "partial 16S ribosomal RNA". It matches the Rfam family "Bacterial small subunit ribosomal RNA", at positions 524 to 776 of the family's 1533-position model. The record is from RNAcentral.